UCACUUCCUAUUCACGCAAAAGCGCUUAUAUGGAAUUUGUCCGUUUCGGCGGACUAUGGUGAUAAAUGAUGAUGUGUAAUAGAUGCAGCGGACCCGGGGGCGGUACCCGGCGGCUCCACCAUAUCCCUUGUUUGAUCAAGGGCUUUGACGGGGCCGAACUAGGAUCGACGUGUGUUCAAAGACAUUGUUUUUACCCGGCAUGAAUAAGCCGAUAAAUGGUUCAAAACCAAUAGGUGCAAACGAUAACGAAGCACUUGCUCUCGCAGCAUAAUCACAAGGGCCUUCGCGGUCCUAGAUUAGACUAACAGAACGGGGUCAUGAGCCGGACCCGGCAACAGAACCGGAAUACA
RNAcentral lists this transfer-messenger RNA (350 nucleotides) under Sphingomonadales bacterium. It matches the Rfam family "Alphaproteobacteria transfer-messenger RNA". Rfam says of the family: Bacterial tmRNA, also known as 10Sa RNA or SsrA, is named for its dual tRNA and mRNA-like properties. Its role is to liberate the mRNA from a stalled ribosome. To accomplish this part of the tmRNA is used as a reading frame that ends in a translation stop signal. The record is from RNAcentral. Lineage: Bacteria; Pseudomonadati; Pseudomonadota; Alphaproteobacteria; Sphingomonadales.